This 72-nucleotide transfer RNA is filed under the name Ictidomys tridecemlineatus (thirteen-lined ground squirrel). RNAcentral describes it as "Spermophilus tridecemlineatus (thirteen-lined ground squirrel) tRNA". It matches the Rfam family "tRNA". From Rfam's summary of the family: Transfer RNA (tRNA) molecules are approximately 80 nucleotides in length. Their secondary structure includes four short double-helical elements and three loops (D, anti-codon, and T loops). The record is from Rfam by way of RNAcentral. Lineage: Eukaryota; Metazoa; Chordata; Mammalia; Rodentia; Sciuridae.
UGGGUCGUAGCUCAGUGGUAGAGCGCUUGCCUAGCAUGUGUGAGGCACUGGGUUUGAUCCCCAGCACCACAU